RNAcentral lists this ribosomal RNA (321 nucleotides) under uncultured bacterium. RNAcentral's name for it is "bacterial SSU rRNA". It matches the Rfam family "Bacterial small subunit ribosomal RNA", at positions 29 to 371 of the family's 1533-position model. The record is from RNAcentral.
AGCGAACGCUGGCGGCAGGCUUAACACAUGCAAGUCGAGCGGGCGUAGCAAUACGUCAGCGGCAGACGGGUGAGUAACGCGUGGGAACAUACCUUUUGGUUCGGAACAACACAGGGAAACUUGUGCUAAUACCGAAUAAGCCCUUACGGGGAAAGAUUUAUCGCCGAAAGAUUGGGCCCCGACGUCUGAUUAGCUUUGUUGGUGAGGUAACGGCUCACCAAGGCGACGAUCAGUAGCUGGCUGAGAGGAUGAUCAGCCACACUUGGGACUGAGACACGGCCCAAACUCCUACGGGAGGCAGCAGUGGGGAAUAUUGGACAA